UAGACUGAGGCCAAAUAAGAGGCAUUUGAUUGUUAAUCAAAAAAUUGUGAGUAUCACCAGCCUAG
RNAcentral lists this transfer RNA (65 nucleotides) under Lirapex sp. ZZ-2022. RNAcentral's name for it is "tRNA-Asn". The record is from RNAcentral. Lineage: Eukaryota; Metazoa; Mollusca; Gastropoda; Neomphalida; Peltospiridae.